This 486-nucleotide ribosomal RNA is filed under the name uncultured bacterium. RNAcentral's name for it is "partial 16S ribosomal RNA". It matches the Rfam family "Bacterial small subunit ribosomal RNA", at positions 899 to 1397 of the family's 1533-position model. The record is from RNAcentral.
ACUCAAAUGAAUAGACGGGGGCCCGCACAAGCAGCGGAGCGUGUGGUUUAAUUCGAGGCUACACGAAGAACCUUACCCGGGUUAGACAUCCUAGUGGUAGUGAACGGAAACGGGAACGACCCGCAAGGGAGCUAGGACAGGUGCUGCAUGGCUGUCGUCAGCUCGUGUCGUGAGAUGUUCGGUUAAGUCCGGUAACGAGCGCAACCCUCGGCAAUAGUUACAAGUGUCUAUUGCAACUGCCCGGUGAAACUGGGAGGAAGGUGGGGAUGACGUCAAGUCAGCAUGGCCUUUAUAUCCGGGGCUACACACACGCUACAAUGGACGGUACAAUCAGUUGCCAAGGCGCGAGCCGGAGCCAAUCUGCCAAAACCGUUCUCAGUUCGGAUUGCAGGCUGCAACUCGCCUGCAUGAAGUUGGAGUUGCUAGUAAACGCGCAUCAGCCAUGGCGCGUUGAAUACGUUCCCGGGCCUUGUACACACCGCCCGU